This 1004-nucleotide long non-coding RNA is filed under the name Homo sapiens (human). RNAcentral describes it as "non-protein coding lnc-CDH11-7:1". Lineage: Eukaryota; Metazoa; Chordata; Mammalia; Primates; Hominidae. The record is from RNAcentral.
UUUAAUAUUGGCAUUUAGAAAAGUUUAGCACAUGAAACAAUUUUGAAUUAUUUUCAUAAUAUCAUUCCAUCUCUAUAUUUAAAGUAGAUGAACAAAAGUAAUAUAUAUGUAACAAACCUGCACAUUGUGCACAUGUACCCUAAAACUUAAAGUAUAAUAAUAAUAAAAUUUUAAAAAAACUCAUCAUGGUACACAAGGUGCUUGAAAAUUCAACCCUAACUUCUCUGACCUACACCCUACCCGCUACAUUGGCUUGACUCCUAGGAAACAUGCUCAUUCACUACAGAGAAUCCAGCCAGCCCUGGAUCCUGCCACAUGCUUUCAAAUUAUUUUUAUAUCUUUUUAUGCCCAUAAAAUCUUUGGGUGAAACUUAUUUUCUCCCAUUGAAAGUAUAGUUAUCUACCUAUAGCUAUAGAGAGAUAUAGACAGAUAACUAUCUAUCUAUCUAUAAAUAGCUAUCUAUAGAUAGUUACCUACCUAUAUCCAUAGGUACUAUCUAUAGUUAUCUAUCUAUCUAUAUCGAUAGAUAACUGUCAAUCUAUCAAUCAAUCAAUCAUCUAUCUAUCUAAACAAUUGAAAGUACUCAAUGGCAUGGGCAUUUGGUCCAGUGAUUUUCCUUUUUGGUAAAAAAUAACAGGAAAUAAAACAAACGUAGGACCCAUUCUCAUCCAGAAGGCCACUGUGUAAAACAGAUGAAUGCUGAACUGCCCUGGUAAGCAAGGAUGGGGAUUUGGGACCUGUCUAAUUCCCUGUCUCUGAAACCUCACUCUAGAAGCCCCUCAAUGCCACAUGCCACAGAUGAAAACCACCCACCAAGUUCUAUCAUUGCCUCCAGAAGUAAGGGACUAGCCCCAAAUGAGAGGCCUACUCAUAUAACAGCCAUUCCAUCCCAUCUGCAUAGUUUCCAAUUUAAAAACCUUGAAAAUAAAAAAUUAAAGCAUUAAUCUCCCUUCUUCAGUAACUUGUUUUAUGAAUAUAUAGGCACAGGAUGGGGACGUGGCAGG